UUUGUAGCUCAGUUGGUAGAGCAGCGGACUGAAAAUCCGCGUGUCGCUGGUUCGACUCCGGCCGA
RNAcentral lists this transfer RNA (65 nucleotides) under bovine gut metagenome. It matches the Rfam family "tRNA", at positions 5 to 66 of the family's 71-position model. From Rfam's summary of the family: Transfer RNA (tRNA) molecules are approximately 80 nucleotides in length. Their secondary structure includes four short double-helical elements and three loops (D, anti-codon, and T loops). The record is from RNAcentral.